Molecule: ribosomal RNA, 1338 nt
Filed under: uncultured bacterium
Lineage: Bacteria
Description: bacterial SSU rRNA
Rfam family: Bacterial small subunit ribosomal RNA
Source: RNAcentral
CAUGGUGGGGGUGGAAAGCUUUAUUGUGCUUUUGGAUGGACUCGCGGCCUAUCAGCUUGUUGGUGAGGUAAUGGCUCACCAAGGCGACGACGGGUAGCCGGCCUGAGAGGGUGACCGGCCACACUGGGACUGAGACACGGCCCAGACUCCUACGGGAGGCAGCAGUGGGGAAUAUUGCACAAUGGGCGAAAGCCUGAUGCAGCGACGCCGCGUGAGGGAUGACGGCCUUCGGGUUGUAAACCUCUUUCAGUAGGGAAGAAGCGAAAGUGACGGUACCUGCAGAAGAAGCGCCGGCUAACUACGUGCCAGCAGCCGCGGUAAUACGUAGGGCGCAAGCGUUAUCCGGAAUUAUUGGGCGUAAAGAGCUCGUAGGCGGUUUGUCGCGUCUGCCGUGAAAGUCCGGGGCUCAACUCCGGAUCUGCGGUGGGUACGGGCAGACUAGAGUGAUGUAGGGGAGACUGGAAUUCCUGGUGUAGCGGUGAAAUGCGCAGAUAUCAGGAGGAACACCGAUGGCGAAGGCAGGUCUCUGGGCAUUAACUGACGCUGAGGAGCGAAAGCAUGGGGAGCGAACAGGAUUAGAUACCCUGGUAGUCCAUGCCGUAAACGUUGGGCACUAGGUGUGGGGGACAUUCCACGUUUUCCGUACCGUAGCUAACGCAUUAAGUGCCCCGCCUGGGGAGUACGGCCGCAAGGCUAAAACUCAAAGGAAUUGACGGGGGCCCGCACAAGCGGCGGAGCAUGCGGAUUAAUUCGAUGCAACGCGAAGAACCUUACCAAGGCUUGACAUGAACCGGUAAUACCUGGAAACAGGUGCCCCGCUUGCGGUCGGUUUACAGGUGGUGCAUGGUUGUCGUCAGCUCGUGUCGUGAGAUGUUGGGUUAAGUCCCGCAACGAGCGCAACCCUCGUUCUAUGUUGCCAGCGCGUAAUGGCGGGGACUCAUAGGAGACUGCCGGGGUCAACUCGGAGGAAGGUGGGGACGACGUCAAAUCAUCAUGCCCCUUAUGUCUUGGGCUUCACGCAUGCUACAAUGGCCGGUACAAAGGGUUGCGAUACUGUGAGGUGGAGCUAAUCCCAAAAAGCCGGUCUCAGUUCGGAUUGGGGUCUGCAACUCGACCCCAUGAAGUCGGAGUCGCUAGUAAUCGCAGAUCAGCAACGCUGCGGUGAAUACGUUCCCGGGCCUUGUACACACCGCCCGUCAAGUCACGAAAGUUGGUAACACCCGAAGCCGGUGGCCUAACCCCUUGUGGGAGGGAGCUGUCGAAGGUGGGACUGGCGAUUGGGACUAAGUCGUAACAAGGUAGCCGUACCGGAAGGUGCGGCUGGAUCACCUCCUUUCU